CCUACGGGUGGCAGCAGUGGGGAAUAUUGGACAAUGGGGGGAACCCUGAUCCAGCGACGCCGCGUGAGUGAAGAAGUAUUUCGGUAUGUAAAGCUCUAUCAGCAGGGAAGAAAGAUAUGACGGUACCUGACUAAGAGGCUCCGGCUAACUACGUGCCAGCCGCCGCGGUAAUACGUAGGUGGCAAGCGUUAUGCGGAUUUACUGGGUGCAAAGGGAGCGUAGACGGCGAGGAAAGUCUGAAGUGAAAGGCGGGGGCACAACGUCCGGACUGCUUUGGAAACUGUAUGGCUGGAGUGCAGGAGAGGUAAGUGGAAUUCCUAGUGUAGCGGUGAAAUGCGUAGAUAUCAGGAGGAACAUCAGUGGCGAAGGCGACUAACUGGCCCAUAACUGACGCUGAGGCGCGAAAGCGUGGGUAGCAAACAGGAUUAGAUACCCUAGUAGUC
Molecule: ribosomal RNA, 443 nt
Filed under: uncultured bacterium
Lineage: Bacteria
Description: partial 16S ribosomal RNA
Rfam family: Bacterial small subunit ribosomal RNA
Source: RNAcentral